GGCAUAACCCCGGGAAACUGGGGAUAAUUCUGGAUAACGCACAUAUGCUGGAAUGCUUUAUGCGUAAAAUGGAUUCGUCUGCCCAAGGAUGGGUCUGCGGCCUAUCAGGUAGUAGUGGGUGUAAUGUACCUACUAGCCAACAACGGGUACGGGUUGUGAGAGCAAGAGCCCGGAGAUGGAUUCUGAGACAUGAAUCCAGGCCCUACGGGGCGCAGCAGGCGCGAAAACUUUACAAUGCGGGAAACCGUGAUAAGGGGACACCGAGUGCCAGCAUCAUAUGCUGGCUGUCCAGGUGUGUAAACUACACCUGUUAGCAAGGGCCGGGCAAGACCGGUGCCANCCGCCGCGGUAACACCGGCGGCCCGAGUGGUGAUCGUGAUUAUUGGGUCUAAAGGGUCCGUAGCCGGUUUGGUCAGUCCUCCGGGAAAUCUGAUAGCUCAACUAUUAGGCUUUCGGGGGAUACUGCCAGGCUUGGAACCGGGAGAGGUAAGAGGUACUACAGGGGUAGGAGUGAAAUCUUGUAAUCCCUGUGGGACCACCUGUGGCGAAGGCGUCUUACCAGAACGGGUUCGACGGUGAGGGACGAAAGCUGGGGGCACGAACCGGAUUAGAUACCCGGGUAGUCCCAGCCGUAAACGAUGCUCGCUAGGUGUCAGGCAUGGCGCGACCGUGUCUGGUGCCGCAGGGAAGCCGUGAAGCGAGCCACCUGGGAAGUACAGCCGCAAGGCUGAA
RNAcentral lists this ribosomal RNA (732 nucleotides) under uncultured archaeon S30-20. RNAcentral's name for it is "bacterial SSU rRNA". It matches the Rfam family "Archaeal small subunit ribosomal RNA", at positions 123 to 853 of the family's 1478-position model. The record is from RNAcentral.